AAAGGAAUUGACGGGGACCCGCACAAGCAGCGGAGCGUGUGGUUUAAUUCGUUGCUACACGAAGAACCUUACCUGGGUUUGACAUAUAGGUUGUAGGGAACUGAAAAGGGACCGACCUUCGGGAGCCUAUACAGGUGUUGCAUGGCUGUCGUCAGCUCGUGUCGUGAGAUGUUCGGUUAAGUCCGCUAACGAGCGCAACCCUCGUCGUAUGUUAUAUGUGUCAUACGAGACUGCCGGUAAAAGCCGGAGGAAGGUGAGGAUGAUGUCAAGUCAGCAUGACCUUUAUAUCCAGGGCUACACACACGCUACAAUGGUCUGUACAAUGGGUAGCCAAGCCGCGAGGCGGAGCCAAUCCUGAAAGCAGGCCUCAGUUCAGAUUGCAGUCUGCAACUCGACUGCAUGAAGCCGGAGUUGCUAGUAACCGCAGGUCAGCAAUACUGCGGUGAAUACGUUCCCGGGUCUU
This 463-nucleotide ribosomal RNA is filed under the name uncultured Anaerolineaceae bacterium. RNAcentral describes it as "bacterial SSU rRNA". It matches the Rfam family "Bacterial small subunit ribosomal RNA", at positions 903 to 1382 of the family's 1533-position model. Lineage: Bacteria; Bacillati; Chloroflexota; Anaerolineae; Anaerolineales; Anaerolineaceae. The record is from RNAcentral.